CUGAAUGUAUACACCUCCUUCCACUUAGGGAUCCCUCCUAUACAGUAUGCCAUAUGCAUCAGCCUGUAACAAAUAUUGAUAGUGAAUAUCCAUUUCAGUUUGAGAUGUCCAUACAAAAUCACCUUGCGAUGCUUUAUUUACUAUAAAAUCAGCCACUUGAUUAGCUUCUCUAUAAGUAUGCAUGAUUUUAUAAAAAAUCUCAUCUAUUUUCCAAUGAUAUAUGUCCUUUACAUGUGGAAUGUGAAGUAUAUUUUGUAUUGCGUGGCUAGUUAACCAUGAUACAAUGGCCGUCGAAUAUCUCUCUAACCA
This 309-nucleotide long non-coding RNA is filed under the name Elaeis guineensis (African oil palm). RNAcentral's name for it is "long non-coding RNA (EGUI_LNC033959)". Lineage: Eukaryota; Viridiplantae; Streptophyta; Magnoliopsida; Arecales; Arecaceae. The record is from RNAcentral.